RNAcentral lists this ribosomal RNA (607 nucleotides) under uncultured eukaryote. RNAcentral describes it as "SSU rRNA". It matches the Rfam family "Eukaryotic small subunit ribosomal RNA", at positions 591 to 1218 of the family's 1831-position model. The record is from RNAcentral.
CUCAUAGCGUAUAUUUAAGUUGUUGCAGUUAAAAAGCUCGUAGUCGGAUUUUGGCUGAGAACGAACGGUCCGCCGUUAGGUGUGCACUGUUUGGUCUCAGCUUCCUGGUGAGGAGGUGUGCUUCACGGCCACUUAGUCACCGUGGUUACUUUGAAAAAAUUAGAGUGUUCAAAGCGGGCUUACGCUUGAAUAUAUUAGCAUGGAAUAACACCAUAGGGCUCCUGUCCUAUUUCGUUGGUCUCGGGACGGGAGUAAUGAUUAAGAGGAACAGUCGGGGGCAUUCGUAUUUCAUUGUCAGAGGUGAAAUUCUUGGAUUUAUGAAAGACGAACUUCUGCGAAAGCAUUUGCCAAGGAUGUUUUCAUUGAUCAAGAACGAAAGUUGGGGGCUCGAAGAUGAUUAGAUACCAUCCUAGUCUCAACCAUAAACGAUGCCGACUAGGGAUUGGCGGAUGUUAAUUGAUGACUUCGCCAGCACCUUAUGAGAAAUCAAAGUUUUUGGGUUCCGGGGGGAGUAUGGUCGCAAGGCUGAAACUUAAAGGAAUUGACGGAGGGGCACCACCAGGCGUGGAGCCUGCGGCUUAAUUUGACUCAACACGGGGAAACUUAC